RNAcentral lists this ribosomal RNA (590 nucleotides) under Salmonella enterica subsp. enterica serovar 4,[5],12:i:-. Its description in RNAcentral is "partial 23S ribosomal RNA". It matches the Rfam family "Bacterial large subunit ribosomal RNA", at positions 2220 to 2809 of the family's 2925-position model. The record is from RNAcentral. Lineage: Bacteria; Pseudomonadati; Pseudomonadota; Gammaproteobacteria; Enterobacterales; Enterobacteriaceae.
UUCUAACGUGGACCCGUAAUCCGGGUUGCGGACAGUGUCUGGUGGGUAGUUUGACUGGGGCGGUCUCCUCCUAAAGAGUAACGGAGGAGCACGAAGGUUGGCUAAUCCUGGUCGGACAUCAGGAGGUUAGUGCAAUGGCAUAAGCCAGCUUGACUGCGAGCGUGACGGCGCGAGCAGGUGCGAAAGCAGGUCAUAGUGAUCCGGUGGUUCUGAAUGGAAGGGCCAUCGCUCAACGGAUAAAAGGUACUCCGGGGAUAACAGGCUGAUACCGCCCAAGAGUUCAUAUCGACGGCGGUGUUUGGCACCUCGAUGUCGGCUCAUCACAUCCUGGGGCUGAAGUAGGUCCCAAGGGUAUGGCUGUUCGCCAUUUAAAGUGGUACGCGAGCUGGGUUUAGAACGUCGUGAGACAGUUCGGUCCCUAUCUGCCGUGGGCGCUGGAGAACUGAGGGGGGCUGCUCCUAGUACGAGAGGACCGGAGUGGACGCAUCACUGGUGUUCGGGUUGUCAUGCCAAUGGCACUGCCCGGUAGCUAAAUGCGGAAGAGAUAAGUGCUGAAAGCAUCUAAGCACGAAACUUGCCCCGAGAUGAGU